This 76-nucleotide transfer RNA is filed under the name Actinomycetes bacterium. RNAcentral describes it as "Actinobacteria bacterium tRNA-Thr". It matches the Rfam family "tRNA". From Rfam's summary of the family: Transfer RNA (tRNA) molecules are approximately 80 nucleotides in length. Their secondary structure includes four short double-helical elements and three loops (D, anti-codon, and T loops). Further hydrogen bonds mediate the characteristic L-shaped molecular structure. tRNAs have two regions of fundamental functional importance: the anti-codon, which is responsible for specific mRNA codon recognition, and the 3' end, to which the tRNAs corresponding amino acid is attached (by aminoacyl-tRNA synthetases). tRNAs cope with the degeneracy of the genetic code in two manners: having more than one tRNA (with a specific anti-codon) for a particular amino acid; and 'wobble' base-pairing, i.e. permitting non-standard base-pairing at the 3rd anti-codon position. RNAcentral also lists the same sequence under 1 other name. Lineage: Bacteria; Bacillati; Actinomycetota; Actinomycetes. The record is from RNAcentral.
GCCGGGGUAGCUCAGUUGGUAGAGCACAUCCAUGGUAAGGAUGGGGUCGUCGGUUCAAAUCCGAUCCUCGGCUCCA